UAAAUUGAUCCUUGAUCACAUCCAGAAAAGGUUCUUCCUUUGAUCCAGAAUUGUAGUCCCAAAGAGAGAUAAUCAUUGACAAGGUAUAUCAGUAAUAUUAGAUGUAAAUUAUUAAAUUGGAUUGAAGUAAACUAAUAAGUUGAUGGCUCACGAUUUAUGACCCAUACCUAAAAAAAUUAAAAAAAAAUCUGACAGUGAUUAUAAGAACAAAAAAAGGGACAGGGAAAUACACAAAAAACAAAGUUGAAACAUGAUA
This 256-nucleotide long non-coding RNA is filed under the name Linum usitatissimum (flax). Its description in RNAcentral is "long non-coding RNA (LUSI_LNC006588)". Lineage: Eukaryota; Viridiplantae; Streptophyta; Magnoliopsida; Malpighiales; Linaceae. The record is from RNAcentral.